This 440-nucleotide ribosomal RNA is filed under the name uncultured bacterium. RNAcentral's name for it is "partial 16S ribosomal RNA". It matches the Rfam family "Bacterial small subunit ribosomal RNA", at positions 338 to 795 of the family's 1533-position model. The record is from RNAcentral.
CCUACGGGUGGCAGCAGUGGGGGAUAUUGCACAAUGGGGGAAACCCUGAUGCAGCGACGCCGCGUGUGGGAAGACGUUCCUCUGGAUUGUAAACCACUGUCCCCAGGGACGAAGAUGACGGUACCCGGGGCGGAAGCUCCGGCUAACUACGUGCCAGCAGCCGCGGUAAUACGUAGGGAGCGAGCGUUGUCCGGAAGUACUGGGUGUAAAGGGAGCGUAGGCGGGGAUGCAAGUUGGGUGUCAAAACUACCGGCUCAACUGGUAGUCGCACUCAAAACUGAAGCUCUUGAGUGAAGUAGAGGCAGGCGGAAUUCCUAGUGUAGCGGGGAAAUGCGUAGAUAGUAGGAGGAACACCAGUGGCGAAGGCGGCCUGCUGGGCUGUUACUGACGCUGAGGCUCGAAAGUGUGGGGAGCAAACAGGAUUAGAUACCCGAGUAGUC